UUUGCUGUAAGAUUUUCUGGGGACAAUUUUUCAAGACUUUUGAUUUCUCAAAUAGUUUUUAAAUGAUUUUAAAGUCGCGGAGAUAUUUACGAUGACACAUUUCUAUGCUUUUUUAAAAUGUCCAUUUCUUUUAAAUGGGUGUCAUUUGGCAAAGCUGCAUCUUGGCAGCUGGACUGCAUCAUAUGCAGAUUGAGAUCAGUGACCUCACCCUGCGAUGCAAGCCUUGGGGUGGGUAACAGUGACAAGCCAAGUCAAGUUCAGUGAAUAGCCUAUUGUCAUCUGUACACAGUAAACCUUUUGCCAGCUCAGCUAAGAUUUCUAUAACACUUUAUGGUUUCCAAGGAGCUUUUCUCCCAACAUCCUCCUGAUGGAGGUAGUGAAAGUUUUACAGAUGAAAAAACUAAGGCUCAGAGAGGUCAUGACUGGCUCAAGGUCACAUAAUUAAUGCCAGGGCAGCACUCAUGCUACUAUAUUAUAUUCCUCCCUCCCUCCUUUCACUUUCUACCCCUCUCCCUCCCUCCCCUGCACUUGUGUAGGAAGCUUGCCAAAGCAGAAACCAUUCGUGUUGCUAAUACAUUGGAAUUAUUAUUAUUAUUAUUUGCUGGAGAGUUGUUUUCAGUCAUGUUUGACUUUUGGUGACCUCAUCUGGGGUUUUCUUGGUAUUUCCUUCUUCAGCUCAUUUGACAGAUGAAGAAACUGAGGCGAACAGGGUGAAGUGACGUCCUCGGGGUCAAACAGCUAGGGAGGACUUCGCAUGCCUGGGGUAGACAUCCUCUUAACUCAUCUACAUAUUUGAGGCAAGCUGUUUAGCCCUCCUGCAGAAACAGUUUAUCUGGAUGUGGCUGCUGCUUGUGCUACAGCUUCUUGGAGUUACAGGUGGGAAUUGGGUGACGGUUGGACACCAAAGGAAGAAAGCAGCCUUGAAAAGGGCUUGGCAAGCCCUCACACCAGAGGACCACUCCACCAAAGCUGCAUCAGCAAGACAAGAGAAAGAGAGGUGGAAAUACACAGAAUUUAUAUCCUGCUUACAACAAUUGACAAUUGAUUCAUAUAUCUCAUAA
This 1061-nucleotide long non-coding RNA is filed under the name Monodelphis domestica (gray short-tailed opossum). RNAcentral's name for it is "lncRNA (ENSMODG00000036166.2)". The record is from RNAcentral. Lineage: Eukaryota; Metazoa; Chordata; Mammalia; Didelphimorphia; Didelphidae.